UACAUAGCUGGUGUGCGUUCGGAGG
RNAcentral lists this non-coding RNA (25 nucleotides) under Rattus norvegicus (Norway rat). The record is from RNAcentral. Lineage: Eukaryota; Metazoa; Chordata; Mammalia; Rodentia; Muridae.